UUGGCCUGCCGCGAUGACGGGUGGGCCGACGCUGCUCGUGGUCCCGCUCGUCGGUUGCACUGGAUGCGCGUCUCGUCGGGGUCGCCGCGUCGUCGUUUGCGUUCGCCUCUGGUGUUGGAGAGAGUUGUGCGGCUGACUCCUGCGUCGUGCUCUGCCUGACUCCUGCGCCAUGCCGCGUCUCGUCUACGGCGGCAGGAGCGUGCGGUGUGGGUGCCCCCAACCCACAGGUCUCCUCCUCACUCCUCCCUUCCGCCCCUCCCCCCGCGCGGCCCCAGGAGCUCUGCCGUCGAUGAGAUCCACCGCCUCCCGAGGUCCUUAUCCACCCAGCUCGCGAGGAAGCCGCGGGAGGAGGAGCUCAACCGGGCAUUCGCCGGCCGGAGAAGGAGGAGAGGCGCGGAUGCCAGCCAGGGAGGCGGAUCGGCUCGCCGCCGCUGCGCCGUGAGCGCCGCCGCUGCCUCUGCAUCCACCUUGUUCCGCAUAGCAGCAUGUGGGCGGAAGCGCGGACAGCCGACCACGAGCAGAUGGCGUCGGCGGCAACGGCAACACGCACGGUGCGCCAAGUCCGGUAAGAUGGGCGCGGCCUGCCCGCAGGCAUUUCAGGAUGGCGUGCCCGACGGCUCGGAACGCGCGCGCCCGGCGCACAGGAGGUAUGCCUCGGAGCACGCCGGCGGCAACGUGCACCGCGAGGUCCCGGAGCAGCCCAGCCAGUACAGAGCCCCUCCGUACUGGACGAACCCUUUCCCCUCCGUCCCCUCUCUUUCUUCUGAACCAUCUCUCUUUUCAGACCCUCUCUCUGUUACACAUUUGCAUGAAAAAACAAAAGUAAAAGGGAAAACGUACUUUGGGUUCAUAAGACCAACAACAAAACGAUUGUUAAUGAAAGGUUUGGGUGCAGGCAUUCUCAAAUCAAGGUCUUUUAUCUAAUUAGUUGGAUAACUACUUUUCAGGUGUAUGCCGAUUUCCACAAUAACACUGCCUCCAACUUUCUCAUUUCCCCGGCUCUGCAUACAAGGUCCAAACUAGGUAUGCCAAUCUUGUUAUCGCUUGUUCAGUCGCUUUCUGGUUUAUGCCCUUUUUCCCACCUGCAUUACUGCAUAUAGUGAGGCAGUCUGUGGAAUUUAGGUGCUGGUUUGAACAAAUUACAAUGAUGUAGUGGUGAGGAUCAGUACAGUCACCGGCUUUAUAUUGUGGUCAGCCUGUUUGUCUGCUUGCUCAUGCAUUCUAAUACAUGAUGUCCUGAUGAUUUGUGAAGUUCUGUGUAUCACGUGAUAAGCUGCACAUCAGGUAGCAUGGCAGCUUGUUUGUUGCUUUUAGGAUGUACAUGUACCCAGGUGGAUCAAAUACAGAUACCGAUCAUAUAUUUUUCUUUACUCGUGUGUUUUUCAUGUGUCUGCCAAGCAUUUCGACAAAUUGAUUAUAUCAUUCAGAUGUAUUCAGGCCAGGUUUCUGUGACAAAAAAAAAAAUCAUGUGCGACUGGCUUUCUUAUUACAUACAAAACUAAAUGUGGAGAAGUAUAUAUGUUCAUUAUUUGGUAACUGAACUGAAUUGCCUUGGUAUAAAACUCCCAUUAACUUGUGCCGGAGGUGCUGUAAUGAUUUGAUGGAAAGGCUUUUAUAUUUCCAAGUUGAUCAACUACACAACUUCUGAUCUUAAAGCCUUUCUUUAAAAGGCACUGGUCAAUACAACUCGAUGUUGUGCUAUCUUGCUAUUGGGCCCCUUUUUCUUUUCUUAAAAUGGUCGGAUAUCUCAUGUUUUAUUCGUGGUUGAUUGCUUAUAUCCAAAAUAAUUAUGUUAGUAUACUGAAGUUAAUUUCUAUUCCCUCCGUCCCAAAAUAAGUGUCUCAAGCUUAGUACAAAGUUGAGACACUUAUUUUGGGACGGAGGGAGUACAUUAUUAGUGAAGUUGGCUAAAUAGUUUUUGCGCUACUGAGAUAUAUAUGUGCACUACAUUCUAACCGUCUAAAUUCUUGUGCUAUUGAGUUUAAUCAGGAAUAUAAUUAUGUUAGUACACUCUGCAAUAUAAUUAUAUUAUAUUCUGCUUUUGUCAGUUUUCUGGUCCAUGUUAGUUUGCUCGAGCUUGUUUUUACAUCUGGUCAUAUUUAUACCUCUCCGCCGACUGCCACCUAUCAUGGAGGAGGGAGAUGGCUUUGCCAGGCCGUCAACACCAAUCGGCAACUUCCGGCAGGCGCCGUCCGUUCUUCCUCCCCUUACUCCGAUGCCUUCAUGGCCAAAAUCAUUAGCAGCAGCAAGAAGGUUAAGCACCAACUAUGGUUAAAGAUCUGAUUUUGCUGGUCAGGUUAGAAAUUCAGGUAAUACGACUAUUGCGAUGCAUCUUUCUACGUGUGUGUAUUUAUUUGCAUUAUUAAUAUUUUUCUCCAAAUCAUUUUUUGGUCAUAAAUUAUUUUGCAUUAUUGAUGAUUAAUUUGCAAUUGAAAUGCCAACAGGGCUGGGUUUUAUAAGUGUAAUGGGUUCAAGUGUGACCUUCCAGUCAAGAAAUGUCCUCAGCAAGAAGCUUAUGUGAAGAUCCCUUUUCUACUUUGAGUGAAUUUACCGUAUAUAUCUCUUAUUUAGUUUAGUUCAUCAUUCAGAGAUGGUGGAAUAUUUUUGUCCUUCACAGGUUAAAUGAGCAUUGCUUAAAAGUCUGUCUAAGUUCUCUUUCUUAUUCUUCUAUAAACUGGAAGGCAAAUAUAGAUUUCUCACGCAUAGUUUAUCAAUCAUGGUCUCACCUCCUUUCUAUAUGCAGACAGUGUGGUACUCACUGGGGAUGUGUGCAGUGAUGGAGGGUUAUGUCCCAAUGGGUGACAGGCAUGGUGAUGUUCACCACUGAUAUGGAGAGAACAGGGAAAAAGAUAACUUCCCUUGAACUAUGAAAUGUGGUCACGAAAUUAGAAAUCAUUGUGGUGAUAUAACUCUUUCAUAUGACCAAAUGAAAUCGCAUUGCACUAAUUAAGAAUCGCCGGCUAUAUUUGUUAUUUCAUUCUAUAAUUUAUGUUUACAAUGAAAACGAACCUGCUAAAUGCUCUAGGAGAAAGGCUGGGAUGAAAUCCGCUGCAGAGCCUCAUGUGCUUCAAGUUUUCCAUAUGAAUAAGAACUACAUACUCUUUGUCUGUGGUACGAACGCAUUUCCAGACCUAUCAAGGCCAAGCUGCUUGCUAAUCUUAAUUUCUUUUUAUGCAGAUGAAUCAACAAGUGUUCUCCGAAAGGCUGAAGGUGAAUAUCAAGGGCACCGCUCUUUGAUGAUGCGCACCCAUGGUUUGCUCACCACGAUGCAACGACAAGAUGUUCUUGAUGGUCGAGCAAAAGUGGAACAAAUGGGUUUAACUUGUAUGCCUACUCCUGUUGCGAUAAGCAUUUGGUUUCCAUCUGCAAGACAAGUUUCUGCUUGUGUAACAACAAUACUGUCUGGGUCGUCCAGUUUCUAGCUAUCAUCUGUUCCAGGAUCAUCCCGACCAUUGGGUUCCUCGUGUUCUCCUUGGUGGUUCUGUACAUUGUCUCAAGACGUAUUGGCCUGUUGAUACUGCAAAGGAAGCUGGCUGAUGCUAUGAGAUCAGGCUCAGUAUCAGCUGAAGACAUCUUGGAGAAAGUGCAGGACGGACCUGCUCAAACAAAUGCUCCUCCCAUCUAUGAUGAACUGUGAUUCUACUUUCAUCCAUUGUUUAUACAUGAGCUAACAUCCAGAAGCAAGCUUACCUCUUAGAGUUAUUAUUUCGUACUACAUGUUGUCUAAAGUAACAUUUGCCCAAAAAGGCUAUUACUGGUGCGUUAACCUACUGCUGGAAUUGAGCUGAAAUCCAAGUACUUUACAUUGCA
Triticum aestivum (bread wheat) is the source of this 3810-nucleotide long non-coding RNA. RefSeq lists it as uncharacterized. The transcript is spliced from 2 exons. NCBI's taxonomy places the organism in Eukaryota, Viridiplantae, Streptophyta, Magnoliopsida, Poales, Poaceae. The record is from RefSeq and is a predicted model, not a curated record.